Vespa mandarinia (Asian giant hornet) is the source of this 512-nucleotide long non-coding RNA. NCBI's taxonomy places the organism in Eukaryota, Metazoa, Arthropoda, Insecta, Hymenoptera, Vespidae. The record is from RefSeq and is a predicted model, not a curated record.
CUCUCUCUCUCUCUCUCUCUCUCUCUCUCUCUCUCUCUCUCUCUCUGUCUCUCUCUCUCUCUCUCUCUCUUUCUUUAUUCCUUGCACUCCGAUGAUCGGUGUAUACGAUGCAUAAAGUGGACGCUAUUUUAGACUAUUAUAGGUAGCUGACGUAAAAGCAUUCUUUAUUCUUCCGUAGUGUAGACGACAACAAAGUAGACACUAUGACUCCAUGAAUUUACACUGAUUACAUAUUGCACUUAAUUCGUUUCACGUUUCAGUAUAGAAUCAUUCGAUGUCUGUCUAUCUCUCUAUCUUCGUAUACUAAUUGAUACAAAUGAUCGAGACAUAGACAGAGAGAGAGAGAGAGAGAUUUCAUUGUGUUCUCAUCCACAAAAUUACAACACGCCUUUGGAAUUGCAUUUUAACUAGGUUUUGUCUUUUCGAAGGACGAUCGAUCAGCGGUUUCUAUGAUCGAUCUAUCGUUGCAGAAAAUAAAAGGAAUAGAGAGCGAGAAAGAGAGAGAGAGACAA